AGGUCCCAGUAUUCAAGGAGGAGCCGACCUUUGCCCUCGAAUACGAAAAUCUUCAAGCAGUUCCAACGAAAUCAUAGUGCCAAAGGGUACGACCCAAGGGAUUCGAAUUCAGGUGGAAAAUAUUCCGGCCUUUAUGAUACAGUCAAGAUUUGUUUGCCAGUUUCUUAUCGAAGGAAAAGUAAAGCAAGUCAACGGCCAGCUCCUGGGAGACAGCCUAUACUGUGGAAGAAUUCCCUUCAAAUACGACUCGGAUGACGCAAACACGACGACAAAAUUCGCAGUCAUUUGGGAGGCGAAAAAUAUCCUGGACAAUCCUGAUAACA
Molecule: long non-coding RNA, 323 nt
Organism: Ixodes scapularis (black-legged tick)
Lineage: Eukaryota; Metazoa; Arthropoda; Arachnida; Ixodida; Ixodidae
Exons: 3
Source: RefSeq, a predicted model, not a curated record